Molecule: ribosomal RNA, 253 nt
Filed under: uncultured bacterium
Lineage: Bacteria
Description: partial 16S ribosomal RNA
Rfam family: Bacterial small subunit ribosomal RNA
Source: RNAcentral
UACAGAGGUCCCAAGCGUUGUUCGGAUUCACUGGGCGUAAAGGGUGCGUAGGCGGUCGGGUAAGUCUAAUAUGAAAUCUCCGGGCCUAACCCGGAAACUGCAUCGGAUACUAUCCGGCUAGAGGAUUGGAUGGGAGACUGGAAUACUUGGUGUAGCAGUGAAAUGCGUAGAUAUCAAGUGGAACACCAGUGGCGAAGGCGAGUCUCUGGACAAUUCCUGACGCUGAGGCACGAAAGCCAGGGGAGCAAACGGG